GACGAACGCUGGCGGCGUGCUUAACACAUGCAAGUCGAACGGAAAGGCCCUGCUUUUGUGGGGUGCUCGUGUGGCGAACGGGUGAGUAACACGUGAGUAACCUGCCCUUGACUUUGGGAUAACUUCAGGAAACUGGGGCUAAUACCGGAUAGGAGCUCCUGCUGCAUGGUGGGGGUUGGAAAGUUUCGGCGGUUGGGGAUGGACUCGCGGCUUAUCAGCUUGUUGGUGUGGUAGUGGCUUACCAAGGCUUUGACGGGUAGCCGGCCUGAGAGGGUGACCGGCCACAUUGGGACUGAGAUACGGCCCAGACUCCUACGGGAGGCAGCAGUGGGGAAUAUUGCACAAUGGGCGGAAGCCUGAUGCAGCAACGCCGCGUGCGUGAUGACGGCCUUCGGGUUGUAAACCGCUUUCGCAUGUGACGAAGCGUGAGUGACGGUAAUGGGUAAAGAAGCACCGGCUAACUACGUG
Molecule: ribosomal RNA, 468 nt
Filed under: uncultured bacterium
Lineage: Bacteria
Description: partial 16S ribosomal RNA
Rfam family: Bacterial small subunit ribosomal RNA
Source: RNAcentral